Molecule: small RNA, 761 nt
Filed under: Pongo abelii (Sumatran orangutan)
Lineage: Eukaryota; Metazoa; Chordata; Mammalia; Primates; Hominidae
Description: processed transcript
Source: RNAcentral
AUCUACCUGCUUUGGAAAGGAGGUGCUUACACUCCAGAGCCCCUCAGCAGUUUCCGGUGGGCUCUUCUCUCAACUGGCCUCAUGUUCUUUUAUCACUUCAGCGUCUUGCAGAUCCUCGGCCUGGUCACCGAAGUGAAUUUGAACAACAUGCUGUGUCCGGCCAUCUCAGACCCAUUCUACGGCCCCUGGUAUCGCAUCUGGGCCUCGGGACACCAGACUCUCAUGACCAUGACCCACGGGAAGCUGGUCAUCCUGUUCUCAUACAUGGCUGGGCCCUUGUGUAAAUAUCUGCUGGAUUUGCUCCGGCUUCCAGCCAAGAAAAUAGACUGAAGCAUCCACCCAGGCCAGGCAAGCUUUCUGCUUCUUGACCAGAAGGGGACCCCCUUUGUUGAGCUCUCUCUUGGGACAGAUGGUUUGUGGGACAUGAGAGGGAAGAGGCAGAGUAUACCUGCAUAAGGGAGCCCACCGUGCCAAAUGACAGGGAAGAAGUCAGACAAGCCAGGCCAGCCAGCCGCAAUAGCUCUGGUUUCUUUCUUUCCCUAACAGCAGCCUGGCCAGACAACUCAGCCUGCUUGCCUGGGGAACUCCUAGGGCUAGUCAUUGCCAGAGGUGAGGUGAGCUGGCAGAAGUAGGGGUGGGGGUGUGAAGCCCAACGUGUCCUGAACUCCCUGGGUUGACGUGAGUGGCUGUCUGGCCCAUGCAGAAGAACACAAUGAUUUCCCUACCUCCUCCAACAAGGUGGAAGAAGAGUCAGGUAGUAA